Molecule: long non-coding RNA, 1441 nt
Filed under: Scleropages formosus (Asian bonytongue)
Lineage: Eukaryota; Metazoa; Chordata; Actinopteri; Osteoglossiformes; Osteoglossidae
Description: lncRNA (ENSSFOG00015026707.1)
Source: RNAcentral
GGCGCAGUGGGUUGGACCGCAGUCCUGCUCUCCGGUGGGUCUGGGGUUCAAGUCCCGCUUGGGGUGCCUUGCGACGGACUGGCGUCCCGUCCUGGGUGUGUCCCCUUCCCCCUCCGGCCUUACGCCCUGUGUUACCGGGUAGGCUCCGGUUCCCCGUGACCCCGUAUGGGACAAGCGGUUCUGAAAAUGUGUGUGUGUGUGUGUGUGUGUGUGUGUACAUAAAAGAUAUAAGAGAUCUGUUUCAAGUUUCAGUUUCAGAUACGUGGACAAUAAUUUUCUUGUCAUGCUGGUUUUCAACCAAUGAGAUUAACUGGUGUUCAGUUACAGCAGGUAAAUUCGACAGGUGAGCAGUUCCUGGUGGACAUUUUCAUAGUCAGACACCGAUCUCCUCCAUACUAAAUAACAAUUUUGGAUAUUUACAAUACUUCCUAAGACCUGGUUUCCACAGAGACCCUUACCUGCUGUGUCCCAGUCCAGGUCCUGAAAUGGAGAGUUGUGCCUCAGAAAUUAGUCACUCUGGAGAAUGUAAGGAAUGGGAACCAUCCUCAGAAAUGACUCUGAACAGAGUCCAACAGGAAAGAAGAGACUCACCUGAACCCAGCUGUGUGUCCAUGAAGAGUGACCGGUCAAUGGAACAACCUAUUCGUUUCCAACAGGGACAGGUUUCUACAGAUGGAAGAAAUCAGCUGAAGAGAUGUGACUCGGCGCAUCAACAGGUUGAUUUAUCAGCAGUUUUCAAGUCUCUUGAGGACAAAGCUGUGAAGUUCCUGAGAGAUGAGUUGAACAAGUUGAAGAGGAAUCUGAGUCAGGAUUACCCAGCAUGCCUUGAGCCCCAGGCUGACAAUGACCUGGACAGUGAAGCUGAGAUCCAGAAGAUGUGUGGCAGAGAGGGGGCUCUGAAGAUCACACUGUACAUCCUGAGGACCAUGAACCAGAAGGACCUCGCAGACACACUGGAGAAGACUUAGCUUUAUUCCACAAUUUUAUCGGAUCACCGGCACCGAGCCCCGCCCUACCUGCCUGCACCUGACCGACCACAUCUCUGUGCUCAAGAGCUGCCUGUGCAUGCGCAACGACUCCCCCCGGAUUCCACUUGCGUCCUGUUUUAAUCUUACAAGAAUCAGUCUCACCACUGGGUCCCUUGUGCUUGACAAUAUCAAUUCUAAGCCAACCUUGGCACACUCAAAUUCUUCUACUAGAAUUGUCAGAGGCAACUCCAAGACCCCCUUUCCAUACAAAGCCACACUACUUGAACAAUGAGGAAGCCCCAACCAUCUCCUUAUAGCUUUGCUCAUAACACCUUUGAGUCUUUCCACCUCUGACAUCGAAACCUCGUAAACAAUUAGCGGCCACCUAAUACGAGGCAAUAGACCAAACUGCAAGCACCACACCUUCAGUUUCCCUGGUAAUAAAUAUUUAUCAGUCUUUUUAAUUGCCUGCA